AGUGAACGCUGGCGGUAGGCCUAACACAUGCCAGUCGAACGGCAGCACAGUAAGAGCUUGCUCUUACGGGUGGCGAGUGGCGGACGGGUGAGGAAUACAUCGGAAUCUACUUUUUCGUGGGGGAUAACGUAGGGAAACUUACGCUAAUACCGCAUACGACCUACGGGUGAAAGCAGGGGAUCUUCGGACCUUGCGCGAUUGAAUGAGCCGAUGUCGGAUUAGCUAGUUGGCGGGGUAAAGGCCCACCAAGGCGACGAUCCGUAGCUGGUCUGAGAGGAUGAUCAGCCACACUGGAACUGAGACGCGGUCCAGACUCCGACGGGAGGCAGCAGUGGGGAAUAUUGGACAAUGGGCGGAAGCCUGAUCCAGCCAUACCGCGUGGGUGAAGAAGGCCUUCGGGUUGUAAAGCCCUUUUGUUGGGAAAGAAAAGCAGCAGGUUAAUACCCCGCUGUUCUGACGGUACCCAAAGAAUAAGCACCGGCUAACUUCGUG
Molecule: ribosomal RNA, 492 nt
Filed under: uncultured bacterium
Lineage: Bacteria
Description: partial 16S ribosomal RNA
Rfam family: Bacterial small subunit ribosomal RNA
Source: RNAcentral